RNAcentral lists this ribosomal RNA (189 nucleotides) under uncultured archaeon. RNAcentral describes it as "partial 16S ribosomal RNA". It matches the Rfam family "Archaeal small subunit ribosomal RNA", at positions 1 to 190 of the family's 1478-position model. The record is from RNAcentral.
GCCCUUGAUCCCGCCGGAGGCUACUGCUAUUGGAAUUCGACUAAGCCAUGCGAGUCAAGGUGUCUUCGGACGCCGGCAAACGGCUCAGUAACACGUAGGAAAUCUACCCUCAGGACUGAGAUAACCCCGGGAAACUUGGGGCUAAUACCAGAUGAGUAUAAAAGAUACUUGGAAUGUUUCUUUUAUCCA